RNAcentral lists this ribosomal RNA (445 nucleotides) under uncultured bacterium. RNAcentral's name for it is "bacterial SSU rRNA". It matches the Rfam family "Bacterial small subunit ribosomal RNA", at positions 335 to 769 of the family's 1533-position model. The record is from RNAcentral.
ACUCCUACGGGAGGCAGCAGUGGGGGAAUAUUGCACAAUGGGCGCAAGCCUGAUGCAGCCAUGCCGCGUGUAUGAAGAAGGCCUUCGGGUUGUAAAGUACUUUCAGCAGUGAGGAAGGUAGGUAGUGUUAAUAGCACUAUCAUUUGACGUUAGCUGCAGAAGAAGCACCGGCUAACUCCGUGCCAGCAGCCGCGGUAAUACGGAGGGUGCGAGCGUUAAUCGGAAUUACUGGGCGUAAAGCGCAUGCAGGUGGUUUGUUAAGUCAGAUGUGAAAGCCCGGGGCUCAACCUCGGAAUUGCAUUUGAAACUGGCAGACUAGAGUACUGUAGAGGGGGGUGAAUUUCAGGUGUAGCGGUGAAAAUGCGUAGAGAUCUGAAGGAAUACCGGUGGCGAAGGCGGACCCCCUGGACAGAUACUGACACUCAGAUGCGAAAGCGUGGGGAGC